Varroa destructor (honeybee mite) is the source of this 2548-nucleotide long non-coding RNA. NCBI's taxonomy places the organism in Eukaryota, Metazoa, Arthropoda, Arachnida, Mesostigmata, Varroidae. The record is from RefSeq and is a predicted model, not a curated record.
CGACUUAUAUUAGGUAGAAGGCCAAUAUGAUUAUUGUGAAAUCAUCUUCCACAAAUUGAUUGAAUUGUUUUUGGGAAAAACAAGACUAGAUAUAAACGACUUGAUACUUUUAUCAAUUACGGCGAAGUUUGUGAGUGUCUGUACUGCAUAAUAAUUUUAAGUGAACUUGAAACUUUCUGCUACCGCAGUUUCCAGGAGAGCAUAUCGUAUGUCACUACCAUUGGUUUGCAUACACAUGAAGACAGAUAAUGCAAAGACAGAAAAGCAAGUGGCGACACAACUUUUAAGAGUGUCUCCACGUCAUACAGGAUUAAUGGUAACAGCGAGCUUUGAACGCGAUGCCUACUGCCAAGGUGGAUGAAAGAACACCGCCUACAGAACGCUACCAUAAAAAUGGGACCGUAGCGAUCUCACAGGCUACAAAGCGUCUAAGGAGCAAUCGUGUGCAUGAAAAGCCCGUUAGGAUGAAAAAGGAGAUCAACUACCCCGGGAUUACUGUGGCUACGAGCAAAGCACAUGUUAAAUGUAUGACUGGAAAACGUUAAGAUACGCCUCCAAUUUGACAGGGCUUAUACCGUGAAUAGGUGGCCUAAAUAAAAGCACCAGACGCCUGCUAGCUGCUCUGGUGGUUUCACUUGUAUGUUUGGUCCCAAGGCAAUGCAGCACGAAGGAGCAUGCAGCGUCGUACUGUAAUCGCCACUAGGCGAGACUGUGACGAGCGACUUCAAAACAGUGUCCGAGGGAGCCCUGCUAAUCCUUGACAGGAUACAAUUUUGAGAUUACUUUGCAUAGAGCUUGGUAAUAAUGGACAAAGUAUUUGACAACACAGAAUCGGGCGUUUGUGGAGCGAUAAGGUCGUUAAGCUUUAAGUGGGAACAGAUGAAAAGGUGGACGCGCUUUCCUUAGCCCUUCGAGUGAUCUGACCAACCUUUUAAGAAGCGUAUUUACCACGUGACACAAGUAUUUACAGGUUGUGGUCAGUUCCAGCCCUAAAUGGUCAUACCAUGUACUGCUUCAGACCGCGCAAAAAAAAUCCUGCGAAAGGAAGCCAAUUGAACAUCUGUGAAGAAUGUGAUCGGACGCAUGACCUAAUCCGGAAAGGAGUAAAAAAAGACUUUUUAAAGGGAUGAUAAGACGGUAACAGGAAAUCGACAAAGAGAGAAUAAGUUCGUUGUGAAUUUACCUGGAACCAGGCAGCCAGGUUGUCUGAGAAGAACGACUCAUUUCCCCCUCGGGGUCCUCGAAGUUAGAUGUGUAAUAGUGCCAAGCCUCAUAAAGAAGACGAGAAGUUGCGGUUUAGCGGGUAUUAGCUUAGCUAGCAGCUAAGCUUUCAUCUAUCCCAGAAAAACUAUUGAUUAAAGUGUACCGUUUGUUUGGGGCGCUUCAUAAGCUACAGGGAUGCUACGCCCAACGCGUAAGGUCCAGUUUAAUUCGUGCCUUACGAACACAGUACCGCGCGCCGUGGAAGCACUGUGCUUAACUUAACUGCUGUGAUAUUGGCAAAUGUCGUAGUCGUGGAAAAGGAAAACCUCUCUACAAUUAAAAUGAUACUGGCUUAUUCAGCAUAAGGUUGAUUACCGAUCAUAUUCUCAUACCUGUAAUCUCUAAAAUAAAUGAGCACAAUACCCCUGUCGUGUUUGAAGGUUCAAAGUAUUGGUUGUAAAAGGCCAGGCGUUCAUUUAGGUAGCUAAAAUAUGGCCGCAUCUGUCGAGGUAAAUAACAACAAAGCACGUUGUCCAUCAAGGUCUACCGAUUAGUAGCCUUAAGCUAAAUAAAGCUUGGCCUAUUAAAAAAUAAUCAUAAAUAAAAAUUAUUACUUCGAUGUAGCCGGACGAUAGAGACGAUAGGAGAUGAUAGUUCUAGGAGAGACGCUUACCAUCUUGUGAACGCUGUAAAUGACCUGUUAGAUAUAGAUUUUUGUUAGAUAAGUGGAUCCGUCGUGCAUGGGUGGUUUUGCAAGGGAAUAUAUUUAUCCGUCUACCGCAUGUCCGUGGUAAGAGCAGCUUGAAGGGUCAAUAAUGCUUGUUAUUUCGCAAUAAGCUACUCAGGAUCGACUUCCUUUCAAUGAUGACGCUAAAUGAAGCGUCACGAAUAUCAACUGCUGCUAGAUUAGUGUAUUGUAACAUUUUCAAUACUGAAAUCUCAUUGCGCCUAUAUAUUGUUUUCAAGCUAAACUAGGCCAAUUUACUCGCCACAAAAAUGUCUGCCUUAUCCAUUUUUAUUUCAACUCGCUUGUGAAGAACACAGUAAAAGGAAUGUGUAUAAAAGGUGACUGCAUAGGGUGCGUCGAAGGUUAGUCUCCUAUUUCUUUCGGAUCGGAAAACAAAGGUUCGAGGUUCUGUGCACGUCUUUACUCUCAGGUUAGCUUAGCCCCCGAGGCUUUAUUUUGUGUUAUUUGUGAAAAACAAGCUCAGCCAAACUUUUUCUCAGAAACCGCUCGAUAUGUUUUGCGUAGUUUUAAAAAAUAAUUCAGAAUUAAUUUUGUUUUUGGUGCCGUUUAAUCUAUAUUGUCCUUCACAUAGUUCCACAGGAAAAACUUGCUUAUUGA